AGCGAACGCUGGCGGCAGGCUUAACACAUGCAAGUCGAGCGGGCAUCCUUGUGGUGUCAGCGGCAGACGGGUGAGUAACGCGUGGGAACGUGCCCUUCGGUUCGGAAUAACUCAGGGAAACUUGAGCUAAUACCGGAUACGUGCGAGAGCAGAAAGGUUUAUCUGCCGAAGGAUCGGCCCGCGUCUGAUUAGCUAGUUGGUGGGGUUAUGGCUCACCAAGGCGACGAUCAGUAGCUGGUCUGAGAGGAUGAUCAGCCACACUGGGACUGAGACACGGCCCAGACUCCUACGGGAGGCAGCAGUGGGGAAUAUUGGACAAUGGGGGCAACCCUGAUCCAGCCAUGCCGCGUGAGUGAUGACGGCCUUAGGGUUGUAAAGCUCUUUUCUCCGGGACGAUAAUGACGGUACCGGAGGAAUAAGCCCCGGCUAACUUCGUG
Molecule: ribosomal RNA, 437 nt
Filed under: uncultured bacterium
Lineage: Bacteria
Description: partial 16S ribosomal RNA
Rfam family: Bacterial small subunit ribosomal RNA
Source: RNAcentral